UUACCAUCAGACUGGAUAGGAGAUAAGAAGGCAUCUUUUUAUUUUUAAAAGACCUAGCAAUAGGUAUGCUUAGGGAAGAGCUUGCGUCACAUUAGUUAGUUGGUGGGGUAAUGGCCUACCAAGACGAUGAUGUGUAGCCGGGCUGAGAGGUCGAACGGCCACAUUGGGACUGAGACACGGCCCAAACUCCUACGGGAGGCAGCAGUAAGGAAUUUUCGGCAAUGGAGGAAACUCUGACCGAGCAAUGCCGCGUGAACGAUGAAGUAUUUCGGUACGUAAAGUUCUUUUAUUAGGGAAGAAAAGAUGGUGGAAAAACCAUUAUGACGGUACCUAAUGAAUAAGCCCCGGCUAACUAUGUGCCAGCAGCCGCGGUAAUACAUAGGGGGCAAGCGUUAUCCGGAAUUAUUGGGCGUAAAGGGUGCGUAGGCGGUUAAAUAAGUUUAUGGUCUAAGUGCAACGCUCAACGUUGUGAUGCUAUAAAAACUGUUUAGCUAGAGUUGGAUAGAGGCAAGUGGAAUUCCGUGUGUAGUGGUAAAAUGCGUAAAUAUACGGAGGAACACCAGAAGCGAAGGCGGCUUGCUGGGUCUUAACUGACGCUGAGGCACGAAAGCGUGGGGAGCAAACAGGAUUAGAUACCCUGGUAGUCCACGCCCUAAACGAUGAGUACUAAACGUUGGAUAAAACCAGUGUUGAAGUUAACACAUUAAGUACUCCGCCUGAGUAGUACGUACGCAAGUAUGAAACUUAAAGGAAUUGACGGGACUCCGCACAAGCGGUGGAUCAUGUUGUUUAAUUCGAAGGUACCCGAAAAACCUCACCAGGUCUUGACAUGCUUUUGCAAAGCUGUAGAAAUACAGUGGAGGUUAUCAGAAGCACAGGUGGUGCAUGGUUGUCGUCAGCUCGUGUCGUGAGAUGUUGGGUUAAGUCCCGCAACGAGCGCAACCCUUGUUGUUAAUUGCCAUCAUUAAGUUGGGGACUUUAGCAAGACUGCCAAUGAUAAAUUGGAGGAAGGUGGGGACGACGUCAAAUCAUCAUGCCCCUUAUGACCUGGGCUACAAACGUGAUACAAUGGCUGUUACAAAGGGUAGCUAAAGCGUAAGCUUCUGGCGAAUCUCAAAAAAGCAGUCUCAGUUCGGAUUGAAGUCUGCAACUCGACUUCAUGAAGUUGGAAUCGCUAGUAAUCGCGAAUCAGCAUGUCGCGGUGAAUACGUUCUCGUUGUUCGG
Molecule: ribosomal RNA, 1224 nt
Filed under: Candidatus Phytoplasma solani
Lineage: Bacteria; Bacillati; Mycoplasmatota; Mollicutes; Acholeplasmatales; Acholeplasmataceae
Description: bacterial SSU rRNA
Rfam family: Bacterial small subunit ribosomal RNA
Source: RNAcentral